CAGAUCUCUCUAUGUUGUGCUAACAGUGGAGGUUCAUACUCACACAACGCCUACCAUGGUAGACGCACAAUUAAUAGUUCCAGUAAUCCGAGGCAACCCUGUAUCAAGUACCAAUGACAAAUUUAUGACACUGGGCCUGUACAAGUUUCCAGUCCUUUACAGCGACAGCAUGUGUCUUAUACUGGGUUACAAUAAAGCAAGGAGACCCCGGAUUUGCUUGAUGUGGAUGCCAGAAAACCGUGUCAAGUGGCCACCAAUACACUGCGAUUUUAUCUUCUUUUUAAUAUGUAAAGGACUUGGGGUCCAGGUUUACCAACAGUCAUGCGAUCCGAAACAACAAACGGCAACAUUACAUGGUCAUUAACUACAAGAAACUACAGUGCAUAUUGCCCCUAUUGGAGUAAAAAUAAGUAUUUAUGACGUCUGUGCUUUGCAACGCG
Molecule: long non-coding RNA, 440 nt
Organism: Dermacentor silvarum
Lineage: Eukaryota; Metazoa; Arthropoda; Arachnida; Ixodida; Ixodidae
Exons: 3
Source: RefSeq, a predicted model, not a curated record